RNAcentral lists this ribosomal RNA (500 nucleotides) under uncultured bacterium. Its description in RNAcentral is "partial 16S ribosomal RNA". It matches the Rfam family "Bacterial small subunit ribosomal RNA", at positions 899 to 1397 of the family's 1533-position model. The record is from RNAcentral.
ACUCAAAGGAAUUGACGGGGGCCCGCACAAGCGGUGGAGCAUGUGGUUUAAUUCGACGCAACGCGCAGAACCUUACCAGGGCUUGACAUGGAGGUGACCGGACGAGAGAUCGUCCUUCUCCCGCAAGGGAGCACCUCACACAGGUGCUGCAUGGCUGUCGUCAGCUCGUGUCGUGAGAUGUUGGGUUAAGUCCCGCAACGAGCGCAACCCUCGUUUCUAGUUGCCAUCAUUCAGUUGGGCACUCUAGAGAGACUGCCGCGAAUAACGCGGAGGAAGGUGGGGACGACGUCAAGUCAUCAUGGCCCUUACGUCCUGGGCUACACACGUGCUACAAUGGGCGUCACAGAGGGUCGCAAGAGCGCAAGCUGGAGCCAAUCCCCAAAAACGUCCUCAGUUCAGAUCGAGGUCUGCAACCCGACCUCGUGAAGGUGGAAUCGCUAGUAAUCGCGGAUCAGAACGCCGCGGUGAAUACGUUCCCGGGCCUUGUACACACCGCCCGU